UAUAUAUGAGGGGUUCUCCAGACAAUAAUGACGCUUCUCCAGACUACAAUAUGCGAUACUUGGUGUGAAUUGCAGAAUCCCGUGAACCAUCGAGUCUUUGAACGCAAGUUGCGCCCGAAGCCAUUAGGUUGAGGGCACGCCUGCCUGGGUGUCACAAAUCGUUACCCCAAUGCAAUAUCUUAACUUAGGGUAUUGGUAGGGUGUAAGUUGACCUCCCGCAUGCAUCGUCUUGUGGUUGGUUGAAAAUUGAGUCCUUUGUGGAGAGCCCCAUGAUAAAUGGUGGUUGAGUAACCCUCGAGACCAAUCAUGUGCGGCUCUUUACUCAUGGCUCAGGUGACCCUUGUGUUCUUUAGAACGCUCACAACGAGACCUCAGGUCAGACGGGGCUACCCGCUGAGUUUAAGCGUAUAUCUAAUGAAAG
Molecule: ribosomal RNA, 421 nt
Filed under: Dioscorea pentaphylla
Lineage: Eukaryota; Viridiplantae; Streptophyta; Magnoliopsida; Dioscoreales; Dioscoreaceae
Description: eukaryotic LSU rRNA
Rfam family: 5.8S ribosomal RNA (bases 27-154)
Source: RNAcentral